CCCCUGUACGACUAAACAACGGUGACGCACCUGUGAUUGACAGCAUACGUGAGCCAUGUCAAUUGCUCUGCUCCCGUUUUCACCUCCGUGCCAGCCCGGCCCGCCCCCGUCCAUUCCUGUUCUUCGCUGACCGCCCCCGUCCCUCUCCUGUCAACUGUUGAUCCAGAUCCAGGGACCAAUGGCUGACUCCCUCCGAGCUUAUCAGGGCCCUCAGAUCCAAUAGCCCGUGUGUACGUUCCACACCGCCACGGUUCAUUUGGUAUUUCAACGACCGAAGCUAAAGGUGCCGCCUGAGACCGCGGUGAGCACAGCGGUCAUGACAGCGGUCGACCCCCGCAGGUCCUUCAUUCCUUACGCACACACACGACCUGGAGAUCAGGAGGCCAAGCCCGUUACCAUGGAGACCUCACGUUC
Esox lucius (northern pike) is the source of this 414-nucleotide long non-coding RNA. RefSeq lists it as uncharacterized. NCBI's taxonomy places the organism in Eukaryota, Metazoa, Chordata, Actinopteri, Esociformes, Esocidae. The record is from RefSeq and is a predicted model, not a curated record. The transcript is spliced from 3 exons.